Molecule: non-coding RNA, 94 nt
Organism: Mycena rebaudengoi
Lineage: Eukaryota; Fungi; Basidiomycota; Agaricomycetes; Agaricales; Mycenaceae
Source: the annotation of a GenBank genome assembly
UCGGAUGUGGUGUACGGUGCACAUCAGAUUAAUAUAGCCUGAAUAUUUGGUAUGUUGAAAGCCGAAGGCCGGGGUUCGACUCCCCGCAUCCGAA